UACGUAGGGACCAAGCGUUGUUUGGAUUUACUGGGCGUAAAGGGCGCGUAGGCGGCUUAACAAGUCACUUGUGAAAUCUCCGGGCUUAACUCGGAACGGCCAAGUGAAACUGUCAAGCUAGAGUGCAGAAGGGGCAAUCGGAAUUCUUGGUGUAGCGGUGAAAUGCGUAGAUAUCAAGAGGAACACCUGAGGUGAAGACGGGUUGCUGGGCUGACACUGACGCUGAGGCGCGAAAGCCAGGGGAGCAAACGGG
Molecule: ribosomal RNA, 253 nt
Filed under: uncultured bacterium
Lineage: Bacteria
Description: partial 16S ribosomal RNA
Rfam family: Bacterial small subunit ribosomal RNA
Source: RNAcentral